GGUGUCGUGGUGUAGUUGGUUAUCACGCCAGUCUAACACACCGAAGGUCUCCGGUUCGAGUCAUGGCGACGCCA
RNAcentral lists this transfer RNA (74 nucleotides) under Nelumbo nucifera (sacred lotus). It matches the Rfam family "tRNA". Rfam says of the family: Transfer RNA (tRNA) molecules are approximately 80 nucleotides in length. Their secondary structure includes four short double-helical elements and three loops (D, anti-codon, and T loops). The record is from Rfam by way of RNAcentral. Lineage: Eukaryota; Viridiplantae; Streptophyta; Magnoliopsida; Proteales; Nelumbonaceae.